Small nucleolar RNA from Coffea eugenioides, 107 nucleotides. Lineage: Eukaryota; Viridiplantae; Streptophyta; Magnoliopsida; Gentianales; Rubiaceae. The record is from RefSeq and is a predicted model, not a curated record.
AGUCCAUGAUGUGGACAUUUUCUUAAAAAAUCUGUAAAUCUUUCCUAUGCUUCAUAAAAUGACUCACCAUCAUGUUGAUUAAAACUAGUAAUAUCCAUCCUAAGUUG